GACGAACGCUGGCGGCGUGCCUAAUACAUGCAAGUAGAACGCACAGUUUAUACCGUAGCUUGCUACACCAUAGACUGUGAGUUGCGAACGGGUGAGUAACGCGUAGGUAACCUGCCUGGUAGCGGGGGAUAACUAUUGGAAACGAUAGCUAAUACCGCAUAAUAUUAAUUAUUGCAUGAUAAUUAAUUGAAAGGUGCAAUUGCACCACUACCAGAUGGACCUGCGUUGUAUUAGCUAGUAGGUGAGGUAACGGCUCACCUAGGCGACGAUACAUAGCCGACCUGAGAGGGUGAUCGGCCACACUGGGACUGAGACACGGCCCAGACUCCUACGGGAGGCAGCAGUAGGGAAUCUUCGGCAAUGGACGAAAGUCUGACCGAGCAACGCCGCGGGAGUGAAGAAGGUUGUCGGAUCGUAAAGCUCUGUUGUAAGAGAAGAACGGGUGUGAGAGUGGAAAGUUCACACUGUGACGGUAGCUUACCAGAAAGGGACGGCUAACUACGUG
RNAcentral lists this ribosomal RNA (505 nucleotides) under uncultured bacterium. RNAcentral's name for it is "partial 16S ribosomal RNA". It matches the Rfam family "Bacterial small subunit ribosomal RNA", at positions 28 to 507 of the family's 1533-position model. The record is from RNAcentral.